CAAACGAUUCUUUUCAGAAUCACACAUCAUUUUCAACUGCAAUUUU
This is a non-coding RNA of Lutzomyia longipalpis, 46 nucleotides long. The record is from Rfam. NCBI's taxonomy places the organism in Eukaryota, Metazoa, Arthropoda, Insecta, Diptera, Psychodidae.